This 262-nucleotide long non-coding RNA is filed under the name Pan troglodytes (chimpanzee). RNAcentral's name for it is "long non-coding RNA NONPTRT001401". Lineage: Eukaryota; Metazoa; Chordata; Mammalia; Primates; Hominidae. The record is from RNAcentral.
GAAAAAGAGCUUCCUGGCUCCUUCCUACGUGGCCUGGGGGAUGAGUUACCUGGUUUCAUCCCCUCCUUCCUUUCUUUUCCUUUGGGGAGUUCACCAAUCCCUGUCCAUGUGGGCAUUGGAGGGGGUACAGACAGACCCUGCUGGGGCAAAGGGAAGUCCCAUGAAUUAUGUGCUCGUUCAAUUUUACCAGGUGCAGGCAACAUGUUUUCCCAAAGCGGUUGUGUAACUUUUCCCUCCCGUCAGCAGAAUUCUCUUGUAUCCC